UGGGGUAUGGUGUAAUUGGCAACACGGCUGAUUCUGGUUCAGUUGUUCUAGGUUCGAGUCCUAGUACCCCAGC
RNAcentral lists this transfer RNA (73 nucleotides) under Aeromicrobium alkaliterrae. RNAcentral describes it as "tRNA-Gln". It matches the Rfam family "tRNA". From Rfam's summary of the family: Transfer RNA (tRNA) molecules are approximately 80 nucleotides in length. Their secondary structure includes four short double-helical elements and three loops (D, anti-codon, and T loops). Lineage: Bacteria; Bacillati; Actinomycetota; Actinomycetes; Propionibacteriales; Nocardioidaceae. RNAcentral also lists the same sequence under 4 other names. The record is from RNAcentral.